UGAGGGACAGGGGUACCUGACAACGUUCUGAGGGACAGGGGUACCUGACAACGUUCUGAGGGACAGGGGUACCUGACAACGUUCUGAGGGACAGGGGUACCUGACAACGUUCUGAGGGACAGGGGUACCUGACAACGUUCUGAGGGACAGGGGUACCUGACAACGUUCUGAGGGACAGGGGUACCUGACAACGUUCUGAGGGACAGGGGUACCUGACAACGUUCUGAGGGACAGGGGUACCUGACAACGUUCUGAGGGACAGGGGUACCUGACAACGUUCUGAGG
This is a long non-coding RNA of Oncorhynchus keta (chum salmon), 285 nucleotides long. RefSeq lists it as uncharacterized. The transcript is spliced from 3 exons. NCBI's taxonomy places the organism in Eukaryota, Metazoa, Chordata, Actinopteri, Salmoniformes, Salmonidae. The record is from RefSeq and is a predicted model, not a curated record.